ACGUAGGAGGCGAGCAUUACCCGGAUUCACUGGGUGUAAAGCGCAUGCAGGCGGUUCGGUAAGUUGGGCGUGAAAUCUCCCGGCUCAACUGGGAGAGGUCGUUCAAUACUACCGGACUUGAGAGCGGUAGAGGAAAAUGGAAUUCCCGCUGUAGUGGUGAAAUGCGUAGAGAUCCGGAGGAACACCAGAGGCGAAGGCAGCACCUUGGGCCGUACCUGACGCUAA
RNAcentral lists this ribosomal RNA (225 nucleotides) under uncultured prokaryote. RNAcentral's name for it is "partial 16S ribosomal RNA". It matches the Rfam family "Bacterial small subunit ribosomal RNA", at positions 525 to 749 of the family's 1533-position model. The record is from RNAcentral.